GGAGGAUUAGCCUAAUGGUAAGGCACCGGUCUUGAAAACCGGCGUCCGUAAGGACAUGGGGGUUCGAGUCCCUCAUCCUCCG
RNAcentral lists this transfer RNA (82 nucleotides) under Candidatus Raymondbacteria bacterium RIFOXYA2_FULL_49_16. Its description in RNAcentral is "tRNA-Ser". It matches the Rfam family "tRNA". Rfam says of the family: Transfer RNA (tRNA) molecules are approximately 80 nucleotides in length. Their secondary structure includes four short double-helical elements and three loops (D, anti-codon, and T loops). Lineage: Bacteria; Candidatus Raymondiibacteriota. RNAcentral also lists the same sequence under 3 other names. The record is from RNAcentral.